GACGAACGCUGGCGGCGUGCUUAACACAUGCAAGUCGAACGGAAAGGCCCUGCUUUUGUGGGGUGCUCGAGUGGCGAACGGGUGAGUAACACGUGUGUAACCUGCCCUUGACUUUGGGAUAACUUCAGGAAACUGGGGCUCAUACCGGAUAGGAGCUCCUGCUGCAUGGUGGGGGUUGGAAAGUUUCGGCGGUUGGGGAUGGACUCGCGGCUUAUCAGCUUGUUGGUGGGGUAGUGGCUUACCAAGGCUUUGACGGGUAGCCGGCCUGAGAGGGUGACCGGCCACAUUGGGACUGAGAUACGGCCCAGACUCCUACGGGAGGCAGCAGUGGGGAAUAUUGCACAAUGGGCGGAAGCCUGAUGCAGCAACGCCGCGUGCGGGAUGACGGCCUUCGGGCUGUAAACCGCUUUCGCCUGUGACGAAGCGUGAGUGACGGUAAUGGGUAAAGAAGCACCGGCUAACUACGUG
Molecule: ribosomal RNA, 468 nt
Filed under: uncultured bacterium
Lineage: Bacteria
Description: partial 16S ribosomal RNA
Rfam family: Bacterial small subunit ribosomal RNA
Source: RNAcentral